UCAGGAUAUAGUUAAUGUUUAUUCUAAGGAUUUACUUUCAGAGAAGGGCAUAAUUUACGUGGCAGCUGAGGAGCUUUUGCAACAUUAAAUAGAGAGGGGCACUGCCUGUAUGCUGCUUCCUUCUGAUCUGUUAGCACAGGCACUGAGGGUGCCCUGUCUAAUGUGCCGCAGCCAAAUCCCGUGUUAGUGCUGACUGAUAGCAUCCCAAGACUUCAGUUGUCACCUUAUCUAACUGGAAGGAAAUUGGGCUGAGUGACUUAAAGGACUCAGUGAUUUACCCAUUCAUACAGCUGACUUUUGAGAAUGAACCAGAGGAUGACAAUGUCAACUAAAGGUCUGAUCCAAUGCCAUUCAGUUUUCUGAUAAAAUGGUUCUUCAAAAUGGGCUUGGAUUUAACUCUCCAUAUCUACCUCUUGCCUCCUGUAUUUUGGAAGGUUUGAAAACCACUGCCAGGCUCUACCGUGAGAAAGAAUAUAAUUCUUGCUGCCUUAGUUUACCCAGUUCUGUUUGACAAGUGCUUCACAGAGGAGUUGCAAGGCCAAUGCAGUUCAGUGUUUGGGAAGAUCAUCAGAGAUCCCUGAUGAAAGAUGCUGUGCAACUUAAUGUUAUUGUAUUUUUCCUCACAGAUUUAUGAAAAAUUAUUUUAAAAGCUUCAUUCCUUCUGUUUGGUAGAAAUAAAUCAUUCACAACUGGUAACA
This 698-nucleotide long non-coding RNA is filed under the name Anser brachyrhynchus (Pink-footed goose). Its description in RNAcentral is "lncRNA (ENSABRG00000013406.1)". Lineage: Eukaryota; Metazoa; Chordata; Aves; Anseriformes; Anatidae. The record is from RNAcentral.